GUACGAGCGGCGGACGGGUGGAGUAACACGUGGACAAUCUGCCCCCCGGCCCGGGAUAGCCCAGGGAAACCUGGAUUAAUACCGGAUGAGACGGGACCCGCGAUGGCGGGACCCGGGAAAGGCGCUGCGGCGCCGCCGGGGGAUGAGCCUGCGUCCCAUUAGCUAGACGGCGGGGUAACGGCCCACCGUGGCGACGAUGGGUAGCCGGCCUGAGAGGGUGGACGGCCACAUUGGAACUGAGACACGGUCCAGACUCCUACGGGAGGCAGCAGCUAAGAAUCUUCCGCAAUGGGCGAAAGCCUGACGGAGCGACGCCGCGUGAACGAAGAAGGCCGUGAGGUUGUAAAGUUCUUUUCGGGAGGGGGAACAACCGUGGCAGGGAAUGGCCGCGGGAUGACGUGAAUCCCGGAAUAAGCCCCGGCUAACUACGUGCCAGCAGCUGC
Molecule: ribosomal RNA, 443 nt
Filed under: uncultured bacterium
Lineage: Bacteria
Description: bacterial SSU rRNA
Rfam family: Bacterial small subunit ribosomal RNA
Source: RNAcentral